Long non-coding RNA from Gordionus sp. m RMFG-2023, 272 nucleotides. RefSeq lists it as uncharacterized. The record is from RefSeq and is a predicted model, not a curated record. The transcript is spliced from 4 exons. Lineage: Eukaryota; Metazoa; Nematomorpha; Gordioida; Chordodea; Parachordodidae.
AUGGAUUUAGACAAUUGUAAUAGAGCCUAUAUGGGAUCAAAUUUUGAAAUGAUAUGGUUUUAGACAAUUUUAAUAGAGCCUAUAUGGGAUCAAAUUUUGAAAUGAUAUGGUUUUAGACAAUUGUAAUAGAGCCUAUAUGGGAUCAAGACCCUGCUAUAAUAGAAGACCCUUUAGAAAUUUAUGUUAAAUUUUUAUCAAUAUUUAGUAUCACUAAAAAUAAAGAUAGCAACAGCAAAAGAUUUCCAUAUGGCAACCUAAAAACAACUCAAAAC